Molecule: ribosomal RNA, 386 nt
Filed under: Escherichia coli
Lineage: Bacteria; Pseudomonadati; Pseudomonadota; Gammaproteobacteria; Enterobacterales; Enterobacteriaceae
Description: bacterial SSU rRNA
Rfam family: Bacterial small subunit ribosomal RNA
Source: RNAcentral
AAAGUGGAGGAAGGUGGGAUUGCGAGCAAGUCAUCGAGAGGCACGGCACACGGCCGCAACGUGUGCUGCAAGGGAGGAUACAAUGAGCAACGACCCAUCGAGGGCAAGCGGACCUCAUAAAGUGUGUCGUAGUCCGGAUGGGAGUCUGCAACUCGACUCCAUGAAGUCGGAAUCGCUAGUAAUCGUGGAUCAGAAUGCCACGGUGAAUACGUUCCCGGGCCUUGUACACACCGCCCGUCACACCAUGGGAGUGGGUUGCAAAAGAAGUAGGUAGCUUAACCUUCGGGAGGGCGCUUACCACUUUGUGAUUCAUGACUGGGGUGAAGUCGUAACAAGGUAACCGUAGGGGAACCUGCGGUUGGAUCACCUCCUUACCUUAAAGAAGC